This 279-nucleotide ribosomal RNA is filed under the name Triticum aestivum (bread wheat). Its description in RNAcentral is "partial small subunit ribosomal RNA". Lineage: Eukaryota; Viridiplantae; Streptophyta; Magnoliopsida; Poales; Poaceae. The record is from RNAcentral.
AUGAAAAUCCUAUGCUGGAACUGUCGUGGGAUAGGCGAUCCUGCGACAGUUCGAGAACUCCGCGAUCUGGUGGAGCUUAGUUCGCCUUCUAUUCUCUGUUUAGUCGAGACUCAGCUACAAAAAUAUCAUGUUGAAGGUCUUCGUUUUUCUUUAGGCUUUGAUUUUAGUUUUGGUGUUGGUAGUAGUGGUCGUAGUGGUGGUAUCUGUAUCUUUUGGAAGAAUUCGGUGGAUGUUGCAAUAAAGAAUUUUCGGAGUAUCACGUGGAUGCUUGGGUAUUAG